GACGAACGCUGGCGGCGUGCCUAAUACACGCAAGUAGAACGCUGAAGGAGGAGCUUGCUUCUCUGGAUGAGUUGCGAACGGGUGAGUAACGCGUAGGUAACCUGCCUGGUAGCGGGGGAUAACUAUUGGAAACGAUAGCUAAUACCGCAUAACAGUAGAUAUCGCAUGAUAUCUACUUGAAAGGUGCAAUUGCAUCACUACCAGAUGGACCUGCGUUGUAUUAGCUAGUUGGUGAGGUAACGGCUCACCAAGGCGACGAUACAUAGCCGACCUGAGAGGGUGAUCGGCCACACUGGGACUGAGACACGGCCCAGACUCCUACGGGAGGCAGCAGUAGGGAAUCUUCGGCAAUGGACGGAAGUCUGACCGAGCAACGCCGCGUGAGUGAAGAAGGUUUUCGGAUCGUAAAGCUCUGUUGUAAGAGAAGAACGAGUGUGAGAGUGGAAAGUUCACACUGUGACGGUAUCCUACCAGAAAGGGACGGCUAACUACGUG
Molecule: ribosomal RNA, 495 nt
Filed under: uncultured bacterium
Lineage: Bacteria
Description: partial 16S ribosomal RNA
Rfam family: Bacterial small subunit ribosomal RNA
Source: RNAcentral